GUGGAUUAGAUACCCCAGUAGUCCACGCCCUAAACGAUGUCAACUGGUUGUUGGUGGGGUUAAACCCAUUAGUAACGAAGCUAACGCGUGAAGUUGACCGCCUGGGGAGUACGGCCGCAAGGUUAAAACUCAAAGGAAUUGACGGGGACCCGCACAAGCGGUGGAUGAUGUGGAUUAAUUCGAUGCAACGCGAAGAACCUUACCUACCCUUGACAUGCCAGGGAGCCCGCUGAGAGGUGGGUGUGCCCGAAAGGGAGCCUGGACACAGGUGCUGCAUGGCCGUCGUCAACU
Molecule: ribosomal RNA, 291 nt
Filed under: uncultured bacterium
Lineage: Bacteria
Description: partial 16S ribosomal RNA
Rfam family: Bacterial small subunit ribosomal RNA
Source: RNAcentral